This 570-nucleotide ribosomal RNA is filed under the name uncultured Glomeromycotina. RNAcentral's name for it is "SSU rRNA". It matches the Rfam family "Eukaryotic small subunit ribosomal RNA", at positions 548 to 1114 of the family's 1831-position model. Lineage: Eukaryota; Fungi; Glomeromycota. The record is from RNAcentral.
UUGGAGGGCAAGUCUGGUGCCAGCAGCCGCGGUAAUUCCAGCUCCAAUAGCGUAUAUUAAAGUUGUUGCAGUUAAAAAGCUCGUAGUUGAAUUUCGGGAUUGACACAUCGGUCGUGCCUUAAGGGGUAUGAACUGGUGUAGUCAGUUUCUCACCUUCUGGAGAACCGCGAUGUCCUUAAUUGGGUGCCGCGAGGAACCAGGACCUUUACUUUGAAAAAAUUAGAGUGUUUAAAGCAGGCAUUUUGCUUGAAUACAUUAGCAUGGAAUAAUAAAAUAGGACGGAUGGUUCUAUUUUGUUGGUUUCUAGGAUCACCGUAAUGAUUAAUAGGGAUAGUUGGGGGCAUUAGUAUUCAAUUGUCAGAGGUGAAAUUCUUGGAUUUAUUGAAGACUAACUACCGCGAAAGCAUUUGCCAAGGAUGUUUUCAUUAAUCAAGAACGAAAGUUAGGGGAUCGAAGACGAUCAGAUACCGUCGUAGUCUUAACCAUAAACUAUGCCGACUAGGAAUCAGACGAUGUUAAUUUUUUAAUGACCCGUUUGGCACCUUACGGGAAACCAAAGUGUUUGGGUUC